GUGCCAGCCGCCGCGGUAAUACGUAGGUGGCAAGCGUUGUCCGGAUUUACUGGGCGUAAAGAAUGCGUAGGCGGACAUUUAAGUCAGAUGUGAAAUACCCGGGCUCAACUUGGGUGCUGCAUUUGAAACUGGAUGUCUAGAGUGCGGGAGAGGAAAGUGGAAUUCCUAGUGUAGCGGUGAAAUGCGUAGAGAUUAGGAAGAACACCAGUGGCGAAGGCGACUUUCUGGACCGUAACUGACGCUGAGGCAUGAAAGCGUGGGGAGCAAACAGGAUUAGAUACCCUGGUAGUCCACGCCGUAAACGAUGGGUACUAGGUGUAGGGGGUAUCGACUCCCUCUGUGCCGCAGUUAACACAAUAAGUACCCCGCCUGGGGAGUACGGCCGCAAGGUUGAA
RNAcentral lists this ribosomal RNA (395 nucleotides) under uncultured bacterium. RNAcentral describes it as "bacterial SSU rRNA". It matches the Rfam family "Bacterial small subunit ribosomal RNA", at positions 505 to 898 of the family's 1533-position model. The record is from RNAcentral.